This 403-nucleotide ribosomal RNA is filed under the name Verrucomicrobiota bacterium. RNAcentral describes it as "Verrucomicrobia bacterium partial 16S ribosomal RNA". It matches the Rfam family "Bacterial small subunit ribosomal RNA", at positions 355 to 776 of the family's 1533-position model. The record is from RNAcentral. Lineage: Bacteria; Pseudomonadati; Verrucomicrobiota.
UGGGGAAUAUUGCACAAUGGAGGGAACUCUGAUGCAGCGACGCCGCGUGAACGAAGAAGGCUUUCGAGUCGUAAAGUUCUUUUAUAUGGGAAGAUAAUGACGGUACCAUAAGAAAAAGCCCCGGCUAACUACGUGCCAGCAGCCGCGGUAAUACGUAGGGGGCUAGCGUUGUCCGGAAUCACUGGGCGUAAAGGGUUCGCAGGCGGAAAUGCAAGUCAGGUGUAAAAGGCAGUAGCUUAACUACUGUAAGCAUUUGAAACUGCAUAUCUUGAGAAGAGUAGAGGUAAGUGGAAUUUUUAGUGUAGCGGUGAAAUGCGUAGAUAUUAAAAAAAAUACCGGUGGCGAAGGCGACUUACUGGGCUCAUUCUGACGCUGAGGAACGAAAGCGUGGGUAGCAAACAGG